This 648-nucleotide unclassified non-coding RNA is filed under the name Hevea brasiliensis (rubber tree). The record is from RNAcentral. Lineage: Eukaryota; Viridiplantae; Streptophyta; Magnoliopsida; Malpighiales; Euphorbiaceae.
UUUUUUUUUUGAAGUAAAAUAAUCUAAUUUAAACUAACAGCUUGCUGGAAGGCGUCUGCCUUAUCUACUAUCUGUGGCUGCUCAAUGUUGAAGCACUUCUUAAAUUCAAAAUUUUCUAAAAUAAGUGUGAAAUGAUAACUUUCCUGUAAACUUAAUCCCGUGACCUGUGUGUUCUAAAUGGAAACCUCUUUAUAGAUCUGACUAUUUUAAGUGGAGGCAAGCUGUAGUCAUUGAUUAUAACGCUAUUGGAAUUUGACAUGUUUAGCAUGUAUUAUAACAAGCCAGACUUUGGAGGCAGUUUUCUGUUAAACAUUCAUAUGGUGCUUAUAAUUGAUAAUCAUCUAAAAGUGAAGUACAUCAAGUAAGCUGGCAUUACCCUGCAGUAGUUUGCCAAUUGUUGGACUUGGUUCAAUAUAUAUUUUGUCAACCUAACUAGUUUGACAUAACAAGUAAAUAAAGGGCUUAAAUUUUUUAUAAUAUUUUUGUUUUUACGAAAUGUUUAUGAAAAAAAUGUACUUGGAUGUGCUAAUUGUUCCAUGAUAAUCUGAGAAAGGGAGAAAAACAGCAUAUGGCUUAGUUUUUUGAAUCUUAUAGACUGAUAUUUUUAUGCUUUCCUUAUUGCAGUUAUUAAAUCAAAUUGUAUGUGAG